UCAUCUAAUCACUGAAGUUAAGCAAUGUUGAGCCUGGUUAUUACCUAGAUGGGUGACUACUUGGGAAUACCAGGUGCUGUAAU
This is a non-coding RNA of Acanthosepion pharaonis, 83 nucleotides long. NCBI's taxonomy places the organism in Eukaryota, Metazoa, Mollusca, Cephalopoda, Sepiida, Sepiidae. The record is from the annotation of a GenBank genome assembly.